RNAcentral lists this long non-coding RNA (238 nucleotides) under Malus domestica (apple). RNAcentral describes it as "long non-coding RNA (MDOM_LNC002999)". The record is from RNAcentral. Lineage: Eukaryota; Viridiplantae; Streptophyta; Magnoliopsida; Rosales; Rosaceae.
UAAUUAAUUUUACGAAAGGUUCGUAUUGGGCUUUUAAGUUGGUUUUGGGCUUCGGGGCUCAAAAGCGUUUUAGUCCACAAGGCCCAUUAUGUUUAAGUUGUAUGACAACUAAAACUAAAUGGGCAAUUAGCCCAAUAACAAAGGUAAGGCCGGCCAUAAGGGUGAGGGUUGCAAACUUGGAUUAAUUACAAGUUUGCCACUCACUUGAAAUGAAGUAUAAAAUCAACUUUAUAGCUUU